RNAcentral lists this ribosomal RNA (279 nucleotides) under uncultured bacterium. RNAcentral's name for it is "partial 16S ribosomal RNA". It matches the Rfam family "Bacterial small subunit ribosomal RNA", at positions 506 to 784 of the family's 1533-position model. The record is from RNAcentral.
UGCCAGCCGCCGCGGUAAUACGGAGGGUGCGAGCGUUAAUCGGAAUUACUGGGCGUAAAGCGCGCGCAGGCGGUUUGGUCAGUCGGAUGUGAAAGCCCCGGGCUUAACCUGGGAAUUGCAUUCGAUACUGCCAAGCUAGAGUAUGGGAGAGGGAAGCGGAAUUUCCGGUGUAGCGGUGAAAUGCGUAGAUAUCGGAAGGAACACCAGUGGCGAAGGCGGCUUCCUGGCCCAAUACUGACGCUCAGGUGCGAGAGCGUGGGGAGCGAACAGGAUUAGAUA